Passer domesticus (house sparrow) is the source of this 487-nucleotide long non-coding RNA. RefSeq lists it as uncharacterized. NCBI's taxonomy places the organism in Eukaryota, Metazoa, Chordata, Aves, Passeriformes, Passeridae. The record is from RefSeq and is a predicted model, not a curated record. The transcript is spliced from 2 exons.
UUGGAAGGGUCCUUAAAGCCCAUCCAGUUCUACAUCCCAGCCAUGGGCAGGGACACCUUCCAAUAUCUCAGCUUGCUCAGAGCCUCAUCCAGCCUGGCCUUGGACACUUCCAGGAAUGGGGAAGCCACAGCUUCUCUGGACAACCUGUGCCUAACCACCAUGACAGGGAUAGUGACUUCACCACCUUCCUGUGCAGCCCAUUCCAAUGUCCAAUCAUCUCGAGUUUCCUGCUGUCGGGAUGACCCGAGAAUCCCUUUUUCCCAGCCCGAUGGCCAAAGAGUCAGGAUUCUUCAGCUCUGAUUCACAAGACCAAUCUAAAUGUGCCACCAUGACCAAGAAGAUGGAGGCUAGAAAGAAGAAGGAAGGACAGGGAACGCCCAAAUUCCUCCAUCUUGGGACUCCAAACCCCUGUUCGAAAACUUCCAAAAUUCUACUUUCCACCCUGUGACAACUACUAUUAUGCCACUUAAACUCUUGUGACUUCUAA